This is a long non-coding RNA of Pseudophryne corroboree (corroboree frog), 1991 nucleotides long. RefSeq lists it as uncharacterized. The transcript is spliced from 3 exons. The record is from RefSeq and is a predicted model, not a curated record. NCBI's taxonomy places the organism in Eukaryota, Metazoa, Chordata, Amphibia, Anura, Myobatrachidae.
UGUGAAGAUAUGAUUUCUCCCAAGCCAGCUCUGUGGGAUGAACCAAUGAGGGAAUAUAUAGAGACUGCAACCUACCACAAUCAAAGGGCCGGCGCUACCAUUAGGCAGCUUUAGGCAGCUGCCUAUGGGUGCCAGCACUUGAAGGGCGGCACUGAGUGGAACAAAAAAAUUAAGGAAGUGACUGUUGACUGUGCAGUGCGCUCGCCGUGAGGGGGACCCAUUCUCUGCUCGCCCGAUGUCAGAUCUGCCGUUAGAGCCACAUGUCCGUGGUUGUUCCCACCAGCACCUCCAGCGUCGCUCGCUCACUCCGCCGCCCCCGCCUUGGACCACAAACCGUGUAAGCGGUGACGGAGCUGCUGGAGCCCGAGGAGGAGGCCGGGUGCCGGUGGCAUUUAGUAUAUUACUUAUCAUGCAGCCUGGGACCCGCCAGCCGGAGCCAGAGGCGGAACUUUACUAUGAGGAUGACGGCUCAUGGUGCCAUUGACUUUCUAUAAGCCGGCGCCAGAGCACAUCGCUGGGGCCAGCUAAGCUUACCAUGUACUUGCAGGUGGCUUGCUGACCCCUUCGCAGGGACAAGUGGCCGCCUCUCUACAAAAACUCCUCCGGCUCAGACACCUAUCAUCUGGUUGGUGCGGAAGUCAGUGAUUCCGCCCUUCACAGGAUCUGCCACGGGGAGUGAACAUUCCAGGAGCCCCAUCAAUGGACACAGGAGGCCGGGGGCACCGAGACUGGCACUGCUGCUGCUACUACUUCAGCCAGGGCCCAGACUUGAAUCCGAUUGAACAUCUCUGGAGUGACCUGAAAAUGGCUGUGCACCGACGUUUCCCAUCCAACCUGAUGGAGCUAGAGAAGUGCUGCAAAGAGGAAUGGGCGAAACGGCCUAAAGAUAGGUGUGCCAAGGUUGUGGCAUCAUAUUCAAAAAGACUUGAGACUGUAAUUGCUGCCAAAGGUGCAUCAACAAAGUAUUGAGCAAAGGCUGUGAAUACAUGUGAUGUCUUAGUUUUUUUAUUUUUAAUAAAUUUGCAAAAAUCUAAAAAAUAAAUAAAAAUGUCACGUCAUUAUAGGGUAUUGUGUGUAGAAUUUUGAAGGAAAAAAUGAAUUUAUUCCAUUUUGGAAUAAGGCUGUAACAUAACAAACUGUGGAAAAAGUGAAGCGCUGUGAAUACUUUCCAGAUGCAUUGUACUUUUGAACUAAUCAGCACUUCUGUUGACAGUCUAGUCUGUGUGUAUGUGUUGAGGAAGAUUUAGGGGGAGAGGUCUUGAAACAGUGUUGACUUGAGGAGACCUGGACAAUGAAAUUCGUUUAACAGAGAAUGAUCAACAGGUAUGGGUCAUUGGGUCGACCACACUUAGGUCGACAGUCAUUAGGUUGACAUGCAGAAGGUCGACAGGGUUGCUAGGUCGACACAGUCUAUAGGUCGACAUGGAAAAGGAUCGACAGGAGGUUGUUGUUUUUUUUUUCAUUUUUUUGGUGUCGUUUUCUUUGUAGAGUGACUGGGAACCUUAAAUAGUGCACCGUGUCCCCUCGGAAGGCUCGCUUCACUCGUCAUGCUUCGGGGACAAAUACAGGUUACCGUCCCCAAUUGUAGUCCACGUGGAUCGCAACGAAUGAAAUAGCUGGAAAAAAAAUUUUGGGCUGAAAACUCAUGUCGACCUUUCUUCAUGUCGACCCAGCAACCCUGUCGACCUACUGCAUGUCGACCAAUAGUGGUCGACCUAACGACUGUCUACCUAACGACCGUAUCCCGAAUCAACAGAGCUAGGUCAUGAAACCUUGCAAAGUUCUCAAAUACUUGAGCAAGUUUAACAGAGCCAGUUGUUUAGAUAGUUGCAUGCCUAGAUAUCAUUUUAUGCUUAACCAUUAAGAAAGUCAGCAUUCAUUGUAACUUGCUGUAACAUCUAAGAUAUAGAACAUUUGUAAGUCCCCUGACUGCUUAUCUUUUCUCACUUGUACCUGAAUAAAAAAUAUUGCAAUUAUAAAAUUAUCCUCAU